RNAcentral lists this ribosomal RNA (375 nucleotides) under Triticum aestivum (bread wheat). RNAcentral describes it as "partial small subunit ribosomal RNA". Lineage: Eukaryota; Viridiplantae; Streptophyta; Magnoliopsida; Poales; Poaceae. The record is from RNAcentral.
AUGAAGGCCAAGGCGGGCUCCCGCGCCGGCGACUCCAGGCUCGCGGUGAAGAAGAGCAAGGCCGAGAAGGACCCCAACAAGCCCAAGCGCCCCCCGAGCGCCUUCUUCGUCUUCAUGGACACCUUCAGGAAGGAGUACAAGGAGAAGCACCCCGACGUCAAGCAGGUCUCCGUGGUUGGCAAGGCCGGUGGUGAGAAGUGGAAGUCCCUGAGUGAUGCUGAGAAGGCUCCCUACGCUGCCAAGGCCGAGAAGCUCAAGGCCGAGUACACCAAGAAGAUCGACGCCUACAACAAUCCACAGGCAGGAGAGGCGUCCGGCGACUCUGACAAGUCCAAGUCCGAGGUGAACGACGACGACAGCGAGGGCGACGAGUGA